GACUUGAUCUGGCUGUGGCAUCUGUCACCCCAUUGAUCACCAGGCUUGGUUUGGCUGAUCUGACUGGCUAGGCGGGUGACCCCUUCCUCCCUCACUGCUCCUGUAUGUCCCUCCCAAAGCUGUGCACUCAGUCAAAGAGGACAACCAUCCUGGAUAGAGGAGGACUGGUCUUUGGUCAAGGGUAUAGGAGUAGCUGCACUCCCUUGCUAGACCCUCCAAAAAAGUUCUCAAAACAAAAUUUUUAACUAGCCAGAUGUGGUGGCAUACAGCUGUAUCCCACCCACUCAGGAGGCUGAGGCAAGAGGAUCACUUGAGCCCUCUUGCC
RNAcentral lists this small nuclear RNA (325 nucleotides) under Piliocolobus tephrosceles (Ugandan red Colobus). RNAcentral's name for it is "7SK RNA (ENSPTEG00000026826.1)". It matches the Rfam family "7SK RNA". From Rfam's summary of the family: 7SK was discovered as an abundant small nuclear RNA in the mid-70s but a possible function has only recently been suggested. Two independent studies have found that 7SK RNA binds the CDK9/cyclin T complex (known as elongation factor P-TEFb). P-TEFb activates transcription by phosphorylating the C-terminal domain of RNA polymerase II. Lineage: Eukaryota; Metazoa; Chordata; Mammalia; Primates; Cercopithecidae. The record is from Rfam by way of RNAcentral.